CGGUGCCCACUGGCCAGAGAUCGAGAUUCCGCUUGGUUGAUUGGUUCCAUGCAAAUGGCAGCGUCGGAGGGACGACGUCGGCGGGGCAAGAGCAAGCCCAAGAAGACGAAACAGGCCGGGCGGCCAACAACCGUGCAAGACAUCCCUGACCAUCUCUUGGAGCGCAUCCUGCUCCGCCUCGGCCCAUCCCCGUGCCAGCUCGUCCGCUCCGCGGCCGCGUGCAAGCGGUGGCGCCGCGUCGCGGGGGACCCUGGCUUCCUCUCCCACUUCCGCUCGGUCCACCUGCAAAUGCCGCAGCUCGGCUACUACCACGCCGUCAAAGGGCACGCUCUCUUCGUCCCAUCGUCCUCUUCGCCGGUCGCCGUCGACGGCCGCCACUUCUCCCUUGACUUCAUCCCGGACAGCGGGUCCUGGGACCUCGCAGACAGCCGCGGCAGCCUCCUCCUCCUCUCCAAGAAGAGGGCGUGCCUCCAAGCGUGGCCAGGGCACCAUUACGUCUGCCGCUGCUCUGCCGAUCUCAUCGUCAGCGAGCCUCUCACGGGGCGCUACCAGGGGAUACUUUGGCCGGCAGAUUUGGACGGAAUCGGUCGCCUCGGCGUGUUCCUGCUCGACGGCGCCGAUCGCCUGAUCAGCAUGUCUAACUUCAGGGUCAUGGCCGCGGUCGACAAAGCCGUGGCCUGCGUGUUCUCCACGGGCGGCGACGGAGGCUGGCGCUUGGUGCACAGCGCGGCAACCAGCGACGCCGAUCUUCCGUCGACGCUCGGCCCGGAAGACUUCGUGGGACGCGCCAACGGCACCCUAUUCUGGGGCGUGGAAGGAAACGCCACCGAUGUGCUUGCUCUUGACGAGACCACCCCGAAUUUCUCCGUCUUUGUGUUCCCAGGGAGCAUUUGGGGCCCGUCCUCCCAAUAGAACUCUCGGAUCGUCGGCGGCGAGGACGGCGUGCUGCGUGUAAUCCGUGUGAUAAGCAACGAGCUUAAAGUCUUUGCUCGGUGGCAUUCGGGCAACGACGACGAGUGGGUGCUGGAGAAGCUCCUGAGGUUGCCAGAGGCCACCGUGGGGCUGCCGGGGCGCGAGGAGAGCUUCUUCCAGCAAGAAGCUGUGAUCGUCGCGGCGGAUACCAGAAAAGUCCUAUUGACACCGAGCGAGAAGAGGUGGACGUUCUCAGUCGAGCUCGACACGCUGAAAGUAGAGCGCCAGUGGAACAAGUACGCUGGGGCAGUGUUCCCUUACAAGCUGCCGAUGCCGACGGCCUUGCCUGAUCACAAUAUCGGCAGGAGGUGAUGACGUCUCUGGUCUGAUGAUGUAGUGUCAAACUUCUGAAGAACCAUAUUGCUAUUUUCUCGAAAUUUUCAUUCCACUCUGGUGACUAUCGGGUCCCCUAAUUCACCCGAAAUUUCCGCAUGGCCCGGCUGUUUGAUGAAAGCCUAACCAUGUCAAAUAGUCAAAUACUACUUACUUUUACCUAACUUAAUUGUACCUAACCUAGCUAACCUAGUGGGCGUUCGCCUGCUCCUGCAGAGUUCCAGACGUCUCCCACCGGUUGCGCAGAAAGGAAAUCUGUUGUUUCGGUUCUUCUAUAUAAGGUUUCAAUCACAUUCCCUCGGGAGAUCACAUUUGUUGCAUGUUUUCGGAUGUUCUACAUUCUUCUCCCGUAUGUUUGAUUACAAUAAACUAUAAAAUGGACUGUGUAAUGCUUAUUGACUUGAGGUAACA
This is an RNA transcript of Brachypodium distachyon (stiff brome), 1716 nucleotides long. RefSeq lists it as uncharacterized. Lineage: Eukaryota; Viridiplantae; Streptophyta; Magnoliopsida; Poales; Poaceae. The record is from RefSeq and is a predicted model, not a curated record. The transcript has a single exon.